RNA transcript from Gossypium raimondii (Peruvian cotton), 3730 nucleotides. It is a transcript of the gene named serine/threonine-protein phosphatase PP1 isozyme 2, with no coding region annotated. The transcript has 4 exons. NCBI's taxonomy places the organism in Eukaryota, Viridiplantae, Streptophyta, Magnoliopsida, Malvales, Malvaceae. The record is from RefSeq and is a predicted model, not a curated record.
UUACCCUAAUAUUAGGGAAGCAAAUAGGGGUUCUUUUGAAAAUUUAUAACCAUCAAUGGCUAGUUGCCAAACCUUAUAUCAUCGACUCCGACGUAGUUUAAUACUUGCAUACAGAAAUUAGGCUUCUCCGCCGUUCCGGAGUUGCAUUCACCACCACUUUUCUUUUAAUUUUUCUUCUUUAGUAUUACUUUUAUUAAUCCCCACAGGCAAGCUAGGCCACAUUCUUCCUCGCCUCUUCUUUUUCAAAUAACACCAGAAAAUGAAACGAAGUUGAAAAACCCAGAACAGAAAAACAAAGACAGUUUUUUUGGACAGAUUUCUUUAUUAUUAUUUUUCUCAAAUUAUGGGAUCUGUUACAAUGGACCCUGCCGUUUUGGAUAAUAUAAUAUGUCGUUUAUUGGAGUUUAAGCAGGGAAGGACAGGGGGCAAGCAAGUGCAGCUGAUGGAAGGUGAGAUCCAUCAGCUUUGCACUGUUGCAAGGGAAAUAUUGAUUCAGCAGCCUACUCUUCUUGAACUUGAAGCUCCCAUUAAGAUAUGUGGUGACAUUCACGGGCAGUAUGUUGAUCUUCUGCGGAUUUUUGAGUAUGGAGGUUUCCCUCCCAGUGUUAAUUAUUUAUUCCUGGGGGACUAUGUUGAUCGUGGCAAGCAGAGUCUAGAAACUAUAUGCCUUUUGCUGGCCUAUAAGAUCAAAUAUCCUGAUAACUUGUUUCUUUUGCGAGGGAAUCAUGAAUGUGCUUCUAUUAAUCGGAUUUAUGGAUUUUAUGAUGAAUGCAAACGAAGGUUCAAUGUGAAAGUUUGGAGAAUCUUUACCGAGUGUUUUAACUGUCUUCCUGUGGCUGCUCUAAUAGAUGACAAAAUUUUGUGUAUGCAUGGUGGCCUUUCCCCUGAUCUAACAAAUUUGGAUCAGAUAAGGGCCUUAACCCGUCCAACUGAUGUUCCUGAUACUGGUUUGCUUUGUGAUUUACUUUGGUCAGAUCCUGGUAGGGAUAUCAAAGGCUGGGGCAUGAGUGAUCGAGGAGUCUCGUUCACAUUUGGCCCAGAUAGAGUCUCUGACUUCUUAAUGAAAAAUGAUCUGGACCUCAUUUGCCGUGCCCAUCAGGUUGUUGAAGAUGGUUAUGAGUUCUUUGCUGACAGACAGCUUGUUACAAUAUUUUCCGCUCCCAACUACUGUGGUGAAUUUGAUAAUGCUGGUGCAAUGAUGAGUGUUGAUGAAAGCCUAAUGUGUUCUUUCCAAAUUCUUAAGCCUGCUGAUAAAAGACCCGGGUUCAGUUGAGGGACACUACCGACGUCUGCCUCUGUUCCUACACGGAAUUGCUGAUUUGUGAUUCGAGAUGAAAGUUUCUAUGAUUUUCAGACGCCAGCGUUGGAGGCUUUUUGAAGAUAUGGGAUAUGCAAUAUCACCAUUUCCUCAUUUUAAGGGUAUCAGAGCCAUCGAUCCUCCAUGGCCAACGAAGGUAUCACCACUCGAUUGCAAAAAGAAAUGGGUCACUUACAAAAGGAGAUUGCCCAACUGCAAAUUGAUUUUUCUCAAAUGGAUGGUAAGCUUGAGACACGAUUGAAGGAGAUUAGAGAAGAGUUCAAGUGUGAGAUUAAUAGUGAGUUGCAAUAUUUGUUCGAGAGAUAUUUUGGCCAAUCAUCCGGGGGCAGUUUUUGGGUCAACACCAGACAAAGGGAAAGGCAUUCUAGGCACAGCACCACCAUGGUUCCCUCCUAAAGACACCUUGGCAGUUUCUCCAACACCUGAGUUGAUUUACACAGGAGCUACUUCACGAAUGAGUAGUAUUGAGACACUACCAAAGCCAUUCAAGUUUGACUGUCCACGUUUUGAUGGACCGACUUCAGGGGCUGGUGGUCGAAGCUGGAGCAAUUUUUUGAGGCUGAAGGAGUUUUGGGUGAUGUCAAAGUAAGGCUCUAGAUUGACACCAUUUUUUUGCUCAUAGGGGGCCUUCAUGUACUUACCUAAUAUGUAUAUGCACAAGGCUUGAAGGAGAGAUUUGGGUCCAGUUCAUUUUUGGACCCCAUGGCAGAGCUGAUUUCACUCAAGCAACAGGGUACUGUUGACCAGUAGCAUGAUACCGUGUUGCCUUUGUAAGCUUGUUGAACCAAUUACAUUUGCCUAAAAAUUAUGCUCUCAGUAACUUGCAGAGAGACAUAAGCCAGUAUUUGCAGCUCUUCAAGCCUAAAUCAUUAGUAGAGGGCUUCCUCGCUGCUCGACAAGUGGAGAAUAUUAUGCUACAUAACCAACAAUCAAAGAAGUUUCUUUAGUCAAGUACUAGCAAACCCCCAACCUUGUUUUCUACACCUAAAAUGCUGCCAUCGAUUGGAUCUACUGUAGGAUAGGGUGGACCUACAUCUGCUACAAGUGGUCACAAGGGACUUGUUAAGUCUCUUCUCAAAGUGAGAUGGAAGAUAGGAGAAAGAAGGUGUUGUGCUUUUGGUGUGCUGCUAAGUACACUCCUAGCCAUAAGUGUACUAAGUCUCAAUUGUAUCAGUUGGUUGUAGAGCCUCAAUCUGAUAUGGAAAGUGAAGUCAAGAGUCUCCAAUCUGAAGAGUAUUAAGACUGUCCGGAUCAAUUUGAACCUAAUGACUAAGAGGAGGAGACUUGUACACUAUCGACUAUAUCUUUGCAUGCCUUACAAGGGUCGCAGAGACCAAGAACCAUGAGGGUGGUUGCACAAAUAGGGAAUUCCAAUGUAUUAUACUAGUGGAUUUAGGAAGCACCCAUAAUUUUAUGGAUGCCGAGUUGGCUCGACAGUCGAACCUUCCUGUGGAACUCUCUACUAAGCUGCAAGUCAUUAUUGCUGAUGGGGGUAUCAUGUCUACUCAGAAUGUGUUAUAUUUGUACAGUGGUAGGCACAAGGUCAGCAAUUUGUAACAAAUUUAUUAGUCCUAGCUCUCAAGGGAUGUGACUUGGUUCUCGGUAUUCAAUGGUUAACUAAUUUGGGGCCCAUUGUUUGGAAUUUCAGUUAUCUUACUUUGCAGUUGAAUACAAUGAUCAAUGUUGUACUUUGCAGGGAAUACUUCCAAGAACUAUUCAGAUGAUGGGUGGUACUCAAAGCACCAAAAUGGUGCAUCAGACUGGUCAGAGUCAUUGGCCAUUGUCAUCAUAUCGAGCAAGUUCACCCUCUUACACAUGUCAAGCUUGGUUGAUAAUGAGGAUCUGUAAUUGAUAUUGGCAGAAUUUGAAGAUGUGUGUCAGUCUCCAAAGGAACUUUCACUUCACAUAUUGCAAAAACACCGUAUUCCCCUCAAUGAUGAAAAUGUGGUAGUGAAGGUCAGGCCGUAUUGAUACCCUAUUGUACAGAAGAGUGAAAUAGAAAGGCUCGUAAAGGAAAUGUUUGAAGUUGGGGUCAUCCGAGACAAUUGUAGCCCCUUUGUAUCACCCAUUGUUUUGGUAAAAAAAGGAUGGUAGUUGGUGUAUUUGUGUGGACUAUAGGCAGCUAAAUCAACAUACCAUCAAUGAUACUUUCCCAAUUCCUGUUAUAGAAGAAUUACUUGAUGAACUAGGGACUGCUACCUAUUUUUCCAAGCUUGAUUUACGAUCUAGGUACCAUUAGAUUUGCAUGUGAGAUAAAGACAUUCACAAAACUGCUUUUAGAACCUGAAGGCCAUUACGAAUUUCUGGUUAUGCCCUUUGGCUUAAUCAAUGCCCCCUCCAACUUUCAAUUGUUGAUGAACUCUGUCUUCAGGCCUUUGUUGAGGAAGUUUAUCUUAGUAUUUUUUAAUGACA